RNAcentral lists this ribosomal RNA (253 nucleotides) under uncultured bacterium. RNAcentral describes it as "partial 16S ribosomal RNA". It matches the Rfam family "Bacterial small subunit ribosomal RNA", at positions 524 to 776 of the family's 1533-position model. The record is from RNAcentral.
GACAGAGGGUGCAAACGUUGUUCGGAAUUACUGGGCGUAAAGCGUGUGUAGGCGGUCCGCUAAGUCGGGUGUGAAAGCCCUGGGCUCAACCCAGGAAGUGCGCUCGAAACUGGCGGGCUAGAGUAUCGGAGAGGUUGGUGGAAUUCUCGGUGUAGAGGUGAAAUUCGUAGAUAUCGAGUGGAACACCGGUGGCGAAGGCGGCCAACUGGACGAAUACUGACGCUGAGACACGAAAGCGUGGGGAGCAAACAGG